AUUCAAAUAGCUUAAGUUAAGAGCAUAGCUUUGAAGCAGCUAAGGUAAUUUUUAAUUUUUGAAUA
RNAcentral lists this transfer RNA (65 nucleotides) under Crioceris asparagi (common asparagus beetle). RNAcentral describes it as "tRNA-Phe". It matches the Rfam family "tRNA". Rfam says of the family: Transfer RNA (tRNA) molecules are approximately 80 nucleotides in length. Their secondary structure includes four short double-helical elements and three loops (D, anti-codon, and T loops). The record is from RNAcentral. Lineage: Eukaryota; Metazoa; Arthropoda; Insecta; Coleoptera; Chrysomelidae.